UAGGGAAUCUUCGGCAAUGGACGAAAGUCUGACCGAGCAACGCCGCGUGAGUGAAGAAGGUUUUCGGAUCGUAAAACUCUGUUGUUAGAGAAGAACAAGGACGUUAGUAACUGAACGUCCCCUGACGGUAUCUAACCAGAAAGCCACGGCUAACUACGUGCCAGCAGCCGCGGUAAUACGUAGGUGGCAAGCGUUGUCCGGAUUUAUUGGGCGUAAAGCGAGCGCAGGCGGUUUCUUAAGUCUGAUGUGAAAGCCCCCGGCUCAACCGGGGAGGGUCAUUGGAAACUGGGAGACUUGAGUGCAGAAGAGGAGAGUGGAAAUCCAUGUGUAGCGGUGAAAUGCGUAGAUAUAUGGUGGAACACCAGUGGCGAAGGCGGCUCUCUGGUCUGUAACUGACGCUGAGGCUCGAAAGCGUGGGGAGCAAACAGG
Molecule: ribosomal RNA, 429 nt
Filed under: Gemmatimonadota bacterium
Lineage: Bacteria; Pseudomonadati; Gemmatimonadota
Description: Gemmatimonadetes bacterium partial 16S ribosomal RNA
Rfam family: Bacterial small subunit ribosomal RNA
Source: RNAcentral